RNAcentral lists this ribosomal RNA (789 nucleotides) under uncultured bacterium. RNAcentral's name for it is "bacterial SSU rRNA". It matches the Rfam family "Bacterial small subunit ribosomal RNA", at positions 8 to 792 of the family's 1533-position model. The record is from RNAcentral.
AGAGUUUGAUCAUGGCUCAGAUUGAACGCUGGCGGCAUGCCUUACACAUGCAAGUCGAACGGCAGCACGGGAGCAAUCCUGGUGGCGAGUGGCGAACGGGUGAGUAAUACAUCGGAACGUGCCCUGUCGUGGGGGAUAACUAGUCGAAAGAUUAGCUAAUACCGCAUACGACCUGAGGGUGAAAGCGGGGGACCGUAAGGCCUCGCGCGAUAGGAGCGGCCGAUGUCUGAUUAGCUAGUUGGUGAGGUAAGAGCUCACCAAGGCGACGAUCAGUAGCUGGUCUGAGAGGACGAUCAGCCACACUGGGACUGAGACACGGCCCAGACUCCUACGGGAGGCAGCAGUGGGGAAUUUUGGACAAUGGGGGCAACCCUGAUCCAGCAAUGCCGCGUGUGUGAAGAAGGCCUUCGGGUUGUAAAGCACUUUUGUCCGGAAAGAAAUCCCCUGGGAUAAUACCUCGGGGGGAUGACGGUACCGGAAGAAUAAGCACCGGCUAACUACGCGCCAGCAGCCGCGGUAAUACGUAGGGUGCGAGCGUUAAUCGGAAUUACUGGGCGUAAAGCGUGCGCAGGCGGUUUUGUAAGACAGGCGUGAAAUCCCCGAGCUCAACUUGGGAAUGGCGCUUGUGACUGCAAGGCUAGAGUAUGUCAGAGGGGGGUAGAAUUCCACGUGUAGCAGUGAAAUGCGUAGAGAUGUGGAGGAAUACCGAUGGCGAAGGCAGCCCCCUGGGACGUCACUGACGCUCAUGCACGAAAGCGUGGGGAGCAAACAGGAUUAGAUACCCCGGUA